AAAAAUUUUUAAUAAAUUUAAAUUUAAAAAAAUGCGUAUCUUUUUCGUUUCUAUUUUCGGUGUCUGGCAUCCCAUGGAGCAGAUUUUUCAACAGGAAAUGCGUGCAUGAGACGCCAGGAAUUCAAAAAGAAACGGAAUGAGCAGACGACAUGCUGUGCAGCUGCGCACCCAGUGAACCAAGUAAUAUAGCAGCAAUGUAAUGGCAAUGUAACCAAAUAUAACAGGUUAUAUUACCAAAAUGUUACAUGUAAUUUACAUGUAAGUUACUUUUUCCGACUCAGCAAUAUAACAUGUUAUAUAACGUGUUAUCUAACCAUUACAUAACAAUUAAUGUAACUGUAAUAUAACAAAUAUGAUAGCUGUUAUAUUAAUGCAAUAUAAUAGUAGCUAUAUUUGUAAUGUUACAGUUAUAUUGAGGUAAUGAGCCUGUUACGAAAGUUGAAUAAAAAUAGAUGGAUUCAAAA
Long non-coding RNA from Nylanderia fulva, 464 nucleotides. RefSeq lists it as uncharacterized. The record is from RefSeq and is a predicted model, not a curated record. Lineage: Eukaryota; Metazoa; Arthropoda; Insecta; Hymenoptera; Formicidae.